UCAAAUGAUUUACUUAAACUUUACUAAAUUAUUACCAAUACACUGAGGGCCUGUAUAUUUUGAUGAUUUUGACUUUUGUCAUUCAAGAGUUAUUGGACUUUAUUUUUCAAAAAAGUGGAAUGGCAUGUCUCAAGAUUACUCAACUAACUUUAAACUUUACUACCAAAUUAUUAGGAAAGAUAUUAUGAUUUGUAAAUGUAAGCAUAAUAGAUGUGGAAAUAUAUGUCACACAAUAACUGCAAUAUUCCUUAAACAUUUUACUUAACCAGAUUAUUACCAUUGAUAGUCAAAAGGGUCUGUAUAUAAACUCAGAUAAAAAUUAUUUUCAUCUGACAAAAGAACUAUGAAACUAAUUCCAUGUUUGUUCACCUUUUGACAUCUGUCAGUCUCAUAACUUAAAAUCAUUUGUUGAAACCACUAGUCCCUAUUGGUUAUAAGUUGACAAGACAAUGUUCUAUUCAACAGUCAUAUUGAAUAAAAUGAUAAUAAAAUAAAUGUUACAUUGUAUAUGUUAUUUGUUUAUUACUCUUCAGUAUGCUACCUUAACGUAAGAGUACUGAUAAAAGUGUCUAAAGGUGUCAACAAUGUUUACUGGUAGGUCAAUGAUAUUUGGUAUGGAGUAGUUGUAGCAUUGGCACAUCUCAUUUCAACAAAGGUGAUUUUGUCCUUCAUUGACUUUGAAUGUUUAGCAUAGGUGGGAGAUAUAAGCGUCAAUAGUUUAUUAUAUGAUAUAUGUCAGAUUUCCUAAUUAUCAAUAUAUAUCAAAGAAUACCACUCAAGUUAUAGACCUUCAAAUGUAUGUGUUGAGAUGUUAUAUGUUCCUUGUUGAAGAUCUUCCAUUGUAAGUGUUAGAAAAUUUUAAGUUCAUUAAAGGUCAACAAAAAUGCAAAUAUGACUGAAUGCAUCAGUGACCAUGUGAGUUGAGAUUCUUACCUGAGUUUAUGCCCAACAACUUUUUAUUAGCAUUUUUACAAUUUAUCUUUAAAAAACUGUAAUGCUAUGGAUUCCUAAUUAUUCAUGGGAUUCCAAUUUAUAUGUAUGUGGCUUUUAUGGGUAUUUAAAAGGUUAACUGUCAAUUAUUUUGUUCCAAGAAAGUUCAUUUUUAUAAGCUGGUAUGAAGACCAUGCCAUAACCAGGAUAUCAAAUAUCCAUGAGAAUAAAUAAAUCCACUGCACACAGAAAUUUAUACACAAUGAAAAGGAUCAGCAGUUACUAUAAAAGAUCUACAAAAAAUGCUAUACUUCAAUCAUCAAUUGUCCCAGGUUAGGGGGAGGGUUGGGA
RNAcentral lists this long non-coding RNA (1281 nucleotides) under Mytilus galloprovincialis (Mediterranean mussel). The record is from RNAcentral. Lineage: Eukaryota; Metazoa; Mollusca; Bivalvia; Mytilida; Mytilidae.